Antechinus flavipes (yellow-footed antechinus) is the source of this 1795-nucleotide long non-coding RNA. RefSeq lists it as uncharacterized. The transcript is spliced from 3 exons. The record is from RefSeq and is a predicted model, not a curated record. Lineage: Eukaryota; Metazoa; Chordata; Mammalia; Dasyuromorphia; Dasyuridae.
GGAGAAGACAGACAGAUUCCAUCAGCUUAUGACCUUCUGGACACAGAGCAUUGCAACAGAAGGUGCUCUAGAUUGGCACUUAGAACACCUGCAUUCCCAUCUUGUUCCUUCCCACUUACAUAGCACACAGAGUGCUUAUGAAAUGAUUAUUGAAUGAUAAAACAAAGUCCAUAUGGUAGAAGGCUUUAGAAGAUAAUUGGAGGCAGUGUAGUAUAGUAGAAAGGUCACUACUGUCCGGGAACUUGCCUUUGAUGCUUACAAUAAUCUGGGCUUAGAUGGACCACUUCAACUUUUGGGACCUUUCCUCAUCUAUAAAAUAAGGGGUCUGGACUGGAUGAUUUCUAUGAUUCUUUUCAGCCCCCCAAUACUAUUAUCCUUAUUUUUAUUUUAUUUAUUUAUUUAUUUUGCCCUAUGAGGCUUUUACAUUCUUCACUACAGUUAUAUGUCUUCUACUCAGAAAGGAUGCUCAAUGAUCCGGAGACGCUAUGCUCUUCAUUCAAAGGACAGAGCUGAGGUUUUGGGAGAAAAAAAGUGCUUGUUCCUUACUACAAACCACAGCAGCAAAAUCAACUCUCCCAGGGAAGCAGAUUGUGGAAAGAAUACAGAAUGAAGGGGAAAAAAGAAAAAGAGUGAUAAGUGCCUACCUACUAGGAGCCAAAAUAUAAGCACCUUCAAGAAAGGCAUGGUUUUUCAUUUAGUUCUCCACAUUCCCAAGAAUCCAGCUUAAUAGCAGGCUCUCAGAAAUGGUUUGCUGAAUGAAUGAAUGACAGCAUUUUUUGGAAGACACUGACAAGAAUUAUAAAGAAGAUACCAAAUCUUCAUACUAAGAGCCCAUGUGUGACAUGAAUGACGACACAAGGAACUUAAGGCACCCUCUACCACUGAGUUGAAGAUAAACCCAGAGGAAGAUAAAAAGCUCUUUUAUGGGGAAAGAUUAAAGGAGUAAAUUGUACUGCUUAUAAGAAGUCCUGACAAUAAGAAUCUCAAAUGGCACAAAUGCCAAGAGGAAUAUGAAUUAUUCAGUGUGGCAAACAUAUUAUUAGUAAAACUAGGAUGGAAAGCAAAAUCUGAAGCUGAACAAUGAUUUUUAGAAAAUACUUCCUGCUAGAGAGAGCAGCUCUCCUCCCCUAAAGACCUGUCUGACCCUCCUACCUCUCCCCCUAGGAAAUUCUGAGUGCUUCUGCAGCCUAAGAUCUUUCUUCUUGGGCAAAACCCUCCAAGACCUUGUCUGCGUUAUCCCUAUGGCCAGAGUUCAGUGAUUCACCAAAAUUCAACAUGGGUCUACAGAAUUCAUGUUCUGAUCUGUAGAAAAAAACCCAAUCACAAAAUGAAUUAACCAAAUGCCAAAACUAUGAGAGGUAAGGGUAGGAGAGAAAGCCAAGCAAAAUCCGGUUCUGCCUCUUAAUUACAAAUCUCAUGUUGAAUACAAACAUUCCUAAAUGUUUCAUAAUGCUCCUAGAAAAACAUCCCAGGACAAGUAACCUUGAGGACCUAGAGAUCAUUGGAUGUUGCAUAUAUAGGCCUUUAGAAAGGAGAUAUACUCCACCCUUGGGGAAGCCUUCAACCCCUCAGAUGGGGCAGGCGGUGGGGAGAGAAAGGGGGAGAGAUGGAGUUUCUUCUAGGAGCAUAUACCACCAACCUUUUUAUUUUCCAACUCUCCUCUGAGAAGGGUACUCCCAGCUGGAUAUUGAGAAUAUUAAUGUUGAUAAUGAUACGGUCGGUAGUCAACAAUCAAAUAUUUUAGAGAGGUUCAAGGUUUUAUCCACAGUUUAACAAUAAAACCCAUAGCACCGUU